UGGGGAAUUUUGGACAAUGGGGGAAACCCUGAUCCAGCCAUCCCGCGUGUGCGAUGAAGGCCUUCGGGUUGUAAAGCACUUUUGGCAGGAAAGAAACGUCAUGGGUUAAUACCCCGUGAAACUGACGGUACCUGCAGAAUAAGCACCGGCUAACUACGUGCCAGCAGCCGCGGUAAUACGUUGGGUGCAAGCGUUAAUCGGAAUUACUGGGCGUAAAGCGUGCGCAGGCGGUUCGGAAAGAAAGAUGUGAAAUCCCAGAGCUCAACUUUGGAACUGCAUUUUUAACUACCGGGCUAGAGUGUGUCAGAGGGAGGUGGAAUUCCGCGUGUAGCAGUGAAAUGCGUAGAUAUGCGGAGGAACACCGAUGGCGAAGGCGGCCUCCUGGGAUAACACUGACGCUCAUGCAAGAAAGCGUGGGGAGCAAACAGG
This 429-nucleotide ribosomal RNA is filed under the name Acidobacteriota bacterium. RNAcentral describes it as "Acidobacteria bacterium partial 16S ribosomal RNA". It matches the Rfam family "Bacterial small subunit ribosomal RNA", at positions 355 to 776 of the family's 1533-position model. The record is from RNAcentral. Lineage: Bacteria; Pseudomonadati; Acidobacteriota.